AGAUUAAAUAAGUAUGAGCUUCUAACUCAUUGUUAAUGGAUUUUCCAUUUUAAUCUU
Molecule: transfer RNA, 57 nt
Filed under: Amblyomma tholloni
Lineage: Eukaryota; Metazoa; Arthropoda; Arachnida; Ixodida; Ixodidae
Description: tRNA-Ser
Source: RNAcentral